AACGAACGCUGGCGGCAUGCCUAACACAUGCAAGUCGAACGAGACCUUCGGGUCUAGUGGCGCACGUGUGCGUACCGCGUGGGAACCUGCCCUUAGGUUCGGAAUAACUCCCCGUAAGGGGUGCUAAUACCGGUUAAUGUCUUCGGACCAAAGAUUUAUCGCUUUUGGCUGGGCCCGCGUUGGAUUGGCGGGUGGGUAGUGGAAAAGCCUGCCAAGGACACGAUCCAUGGCUGGUCGGAGAGGAGGAUCAGUCACACUGGGACUGAGACACGGCCCAGACUGGGACGGAGGGGAGCAGUGGGGAGUAUAAGAGACGGAACGAAAACCUAGUAACGCAGUGCCGGGGAAGAGAUGAAGGCGUUAGGAUUGUAAAUCUGUUUUAGCCGGGAUGAGAAUGACAGUACCGGGAGAAUAAGCACCGGCUAACUCCGUG
This 433-nucleotide ribosomal RNA is filed under the name uncultured bacterium. RNAcentral's name for it is "partial 16S ribosomal RNA". It matches the Rfam family "Bacterial small subunit ribosomal RNA", at positions 29 to 507 of the family's 1533-position model. The record is from RNAcentral.